AGAGUUUGAUCCUGGCUCAGAAUCAACGCUGGCGGCGUGCUUAACACAUGCAAGUCGAGCGGAAAGGCCCUUCGGGGUACUCGAGCGGCGAACGGGUGAGUAACACGUGAGCAAUCUGCCCCUGGCUCUGGGAUAGCUCCGGGAAACCGGGAUUAAUACCUGAUAUGACUGUGGCCUGCAUGGGCUGUGGUGGAAAGAUU
RNAcentral lists this ribosomal RNA (200 nucleotides) under uncultured bacterium. RNAcentral's name for it is "partial 16S ribosomal RNA". It matches the Rfam family "Bacterial small subunit ribosomal RNA", at positions 8 to 210 of the family's 1533-position model. The record is from RNAcentral.